CAGCCGCGGUAAUACGUAGGUCCCGAGCGUUGUCCGGAUUUAUUGGGCGUAAAGCGAGCGCAGGCGGUUAGAUAAGUCUGAAGUUAAAGGCUGUGGCUUAACCAUAGCACGCUUUGGAAACUGUUUAACUUGAGUGCAGAAGGGGAGAGUGGAAUUCCAUGUGUAGCGGUGAAAUGCGUAGAUAUAUGGAGGAACACCGGUGGCGAAAGCGGCUCUCUGGUCUGUAACUGACGCUGAGGCUCGAAAGCGUGGGGAGCAAACAGGAUUAGAUACCCCAGUAGUCCCUGUCUCUUAUACACAU
This 301-nucleotide ribosomal RNA is filed under the name uncultured bacterium. RNAcentral's name for it is "partial 16S ribosomal RNA". It matches the Rfam family "Bacterial small subunit ribosomal RNA", at positions 512 to 816 of the family's 1533-position model. The record is from RNAcentral.